RNAcentral lists this ribosomal RNA (244 nucleotides) under uncultured bacterium. Its description in RNAcentral is "partial 16S ribosomal RNA". It matches the Rfam family "Bacterial small subunit ribosomal RNA", at positions 524 to 760 of the family's 1533-position model. The record is from RNAcentral.
UACGUAGGGUGCAAGCGUUAAUCGGAAUUACUGGGCGUAAAGCGUGCGCAGGCGGUUUUGUAAGUCUGUCGUGAAAUCCCCGGGCUCAACCUGGGAAAUUGCGAUGGAGACUGCAAGGCUAGAAUCUUGGCAGAGGGGGGUAGAAUUCCGACGUGUGAGCAGUGAAAUGCGCAGAUAUCAGGAGGAACACCGGUGGCGAAAGGCGGAUCUCUGGGCCUGUUCUGACGCUGGAGGCGACGAAAGC